GCAGGUAUGAUGAAAUUGGUAAACAUAUUAGGUUUAGAUUCUAAACACUUUAGAUUUAUAAAAUAGUGCUAAGGGUUCAAAUCCCUUUACCUGUA
This 95-nucleotide transfer RNA is filed under the name Periphykon beckeri. Its description in RNAcentral is "tRNA-Leu". It matches the Rfam family "tRNA". Rfam says of the family: Transfer RNA (tRNA) molecules are approximately 80 nucleotides in length. Their secondary structure includes four short double-helical elements and three loops (D, anti-codon, and T loops). Further hydrogen bonds mediate the characteristic L-shaped molecular structure. tRNAs have two regions of fundamental functional importance: the anti-codon, which is responsible for specific mRNA codon recognition, and the 3' end, to which the tRNAs corresponding amino acid is attached (by aminoacyl-tRNA synthetases). tRNAs cope with the degeneracy of the genetic code in two manners: having more than one tRNA (with a specific anti-codon) for a particular amino acid; and 'wobble' base-pairing, i.e. permitting non-standard base-pairing at the 3rd anti-codon position. The record is from RNAcentral. Lineage: Eukaryota; Rhodophyta; Florideophyceae; Ceramiales; Rhodomelaceae.